RNAcentral lists this transfer-messenger RNA (396 nucleotides) under Candidatus Saccharimonadota bacterium. It matches the Rfam family "transfer-messenger RNA". Rfam says of the family: Bacterial tmRNA, also known as 10Sa RNA or SsrA, is named for its dual tRNA and mRNA-like properties. Its role is to liberate the mRNA from a stalled ribosome. To accomplish this part of the tmRNA is used as a reading frame that ends in a translation stop signal. The record is from RNAcentral. RNAcentral also lists the same sequence under 1 other name. Lineage: Bacteria; Candidatus Saccharimonadota.
GGGGCUGAUAUAGCGUUCGACGUAGAGAAUUUAACAGGUUGUUUUGCGUACCGACUUCUGACGUUAUCAGAAUUAAUAGUUGCAAACUUUGCAAACAAAGCGAAGGCGUUUGUUGCAUCAUUGAUGCCACGGCAGACAGCCUUUGCGCUAGCUGCGUAAUAUUACUGGCAGCCGCAUCCGCCUAGAUUCUUGCUAUAGGCUAGGUGUGUCAUAUCUAGCAAGAUCGGUUAAUUGAUAUUUCUGCUAUAUCAUUAAUUAAGAUUUUAAGCAGAUCGCUAGUUCGUAUGUUUGUCUAGCUUUGAGCGGAUAAGCGAUUAUUUAACGAGUUAGACUAUGUGCGUAGACAAACAACAGGUUACUCUGCGGACCCGGGGGCAGUACCCGGCAGCUCCACCA